GUCCCUGUAGCGCAAUGGGUGGCGCGUUGCAUUUCAAAUCCAAAGGCCGUGGGUUCGAAUCCUACCUGGGAUA
This is a non-coding RNA of Trichonephila inaurata madagascariensis, 73 nucleotides long. The record is from the annotation of a GenBank genome assembly. NCBI's taxonomy places the organism in Eukaryota, Metazoa, Arthropoda, Arachnida, Araneae, Nephilidae.